RNAcentral lists this ribosomal RNA (497 nucleotides) under uncultured bacterium. RNAcentral's name for it is "partial 16S ribosomal RNA". It matches the Rfam family "Bacterial small subunit ribosomal RNA", at positions 28 to 507 of the family's 1533-position model. The record is from RNAcentral.
GAUGAACGCUGGCGGCGUGCCUAAUACAUGCAAGUCGAGCGAACAGACGAUGAGCGUGCGCCUCUGACGUUAGCGACGGGCGGGUGAGUGACACGUGCAUAACCUACCUCUUUGACGGGGAGAACAACGUGAGAACGGAGCCAAUAACAGAGCAUAUAAUGUACCGGAGAGAGCAAUAGUGAAUGACGGUUUUGCUGUCACUUAUAGAUGUAGCCGCGCCGCAUUAGCUAGUUGGUAAGGUAACGGCAUACCAAGGCGACGAUGCGUAGCCGACCUGAGAGGGUGAUCGGCCACACUGGAACUGAGACACGGUCCAGACUCCUACGGGAGGCAGCAGUAGGGAAUCUUGGGCAAUGGGCGCAAGCCUGACCGAGCCACACCGCGUGGGUGAAGAAGGCCUUCGGGUCGUAAAGCCCUUUUGUUAGGAAAGAAAAGCUGCAGAUUAAUCCCCCGCUGUUCUGACGGUACCCAAUGAAUAAGCACCGGCUAACUUCGUG